RNAcentral lists this ribosomal RNA (279 nucleotides) under uncultured bacterium. RNAcentral describes it as "partial 16S ribosomal RNA". It matches the Rfam family "Bacterial small subunit ribosomal RNA", at positions 506 to 784 of the family's 1533-position model. The record is from RNAcentral.
UGCCAGCAGCCGCGGUAAUACGUAGGUGGCAAGCGUUGUCCGGAAUCAUUGGGCGUAAAGGGCGUGUAGGUGGAUUCUUAAGUCGUGUGUCUAAGUGCGGGGCUCAACCCCGUAUAGGCGCAGGAAACUGGGGAUCUUGAGUGCAGGAGAGGAAAGUGGAAUUCCCAGUGUAGCGGUGAAAUGCGUAGAUAUUGGGAGGAACACCAGUGGCGAAGGCGACUUUCUGGACUGUGUCUGACACUGAGGCGCGAAAGCUAGGGGAGCGAACGGGAUUAGAUA